This 516-nucleotide ribosomal RNA is filed under the name uncultured Planctomycetota bacterium. Its description in RNAcentral is "bacterial SSU rRNA". It matches the Rfam family "Bacterial small subunit ribosomal RNA", at positions 117 to 643 of the family's 1533-position model. The record is from RNAcentral. Lineage: Bacteria; Pseudomonadati; Planctomycetota.
GUAGAUACGUACCCUCCGGCCUGGGAUAGUCCGUCGAAAGACGGGGUAAUACCAGAUGACGUCUCCGGACCAAAGGUGUGAUUCCACCGGGGGAGCGGUCUGCGUCCUAUUAGCUUGUUGGCGGGGUAAUGGCCCACCAAGGCAAUGAUGGGUAGCGGGUGUGAGAGCACGACCCGCGUCAUUGGGACUGAGACACUGCCCAGACACCUACGGGUGGCUGCAGUCGAGGAUCUUCGGCAAUGGACGCAAGUCUGACCGAGCGACGCCGCGUGCGGGAUGAAGGCUUUCGGGUUGUAAACCGCUGUCAGUGGGGAGGAAAUUCAUGAGGGUACUCUCUCAUGAUUGACCUAUCCGCAGAGGAAGCAAGGGCUAAGUUCGUGCCAGCAGCCGCGGUAAGACGAACCUUGCUAACGUUAUUCGGAAUUACUGGGCUUAAAGGGUGCGUAGGCGGUGCAGCAAGUCGGGUGUGAAAUCCCUCAGCUCAACUGAGGAAUUGCGCCCGAAACUGCUGUGCUA